Molecule: transfer RNA, 63 nt
Filed under: Apatetica glabra
Lineage: Eukaryota; Metazoa; Arthropoda; Insecta; Coleoptera; Staphylinidae
Description: tRNA-Pro
Source: RNAcentral
CAGAAAAUAGUUUAUAAAAAUAUUAAUUUUGGAGAUUAAUGAUGAAAGAAUUUUCUUUUCUGA